GAUUCGAUGGUCUAGUUGGUCAUGGCGCCAGUCUAACACACUGGAAGUCGGGAGUUCGAACCUCCCUCGAGUCA
Molecule: transfer RNA, 74 nt
Organism: Pneumocystis murina B123
Lineage: Eukaryota; Fungi; Ascomycota; Pneumocystomycetes; Pneumocystales; Pneumocystaceae
Rfam family: tRNA
About the family: Transfer RNA (tRNA) molecules are approximately 80 nucleotides in length. Their secondary structure includes four short double-helical elements and three loops (D, anti-codon, and T loops).
Source: Rfam